AAAUGCCUGAGGAGAAGAUUAAGAGAUGGGAAAAUGAGCAAUUAGACACCUUUAUUAGUAACAUUGAUAGACUUAAAGUAAAUGAAAUACUAGCUCAAUUAACGGAAAUGGUUGAAAAUACAAGUGAAAACUCAAUUAUUAAUAAAGUUGUUGAGGAUGUAUGUCAUUUACUUACAAAUGCGGCAAAGUCUACAUUCGGCACAUUUACUAAAAGACGUAAGCAUACACAAAAUAUAAAAAAAAUCAAAACCAUGGUUUGAUAGCGAAUGUAAGGAAGCUAGAAAAAAGUUUCGGUCUAGUAGACGAAAACUUAAGCGAAACCAUACUGACGACAGAGUGAAUGAAACAAAGAAACUAGAAAAGAGUUAUAAGCGAGUAAUGGAUAAGAGCAUUCGUAAACAUAGAAAGAAAAUUAGACACAAG
This 423-nucleotide long non-coding RNA is filed under the name Mytilus galloprovincialis (Mediterranean mussel). Lineage: Eukaryota; Metazoa; Mollusca; Bivalvia; Mytilida; Mytilidae. The record is from RNAcentral.